This 484-nucleotide ribosomal RNA is filed under the name uncultured archaeon. RNAcentral describes it as "bacterial SSU rRNA". It matches the Rfam family "Archaeal small subunit ribosomal RNA", at positions 76 to 561 of the family's 1478-position model. The record is from RNAcentral.
ACAUGGCGAACUGCUCAGUAACACGUGGACAACCUGCCCUUAGGUUGGGUAUAAACCCGGGAAACUGGGUAUAAUACCCGAUAGGUCUCGAUUGCUGGAAUGCAUCGAGAUUUAAAGCUCCGGCGCCCAAGGAUGGGUCUGCGGCCUAUCAGGUAGUAGUGGGUGUAGCGUACCUACUAGCCUACGACGGGUACGGGUUGUGAGAGCAAGAGCCCGGAGAUGGAUUCUGAGACACGAAUCCAGGCCCUACGGGGUGCAGCAGGCGCGAAAACUUUACAAUGCUGGCAACAGCGAUAAGGGAACCUCGAGUGCCAGGUUACAAAUCUGGCUGUCGAGAUGCCUAAAAAGCAUUUCAUAGCAAGGGCCGGGCAAGACCGGUGCCAGCCGCCGCGGUAACACCGGCGGCUCGAGUGGUAACCGUUAUUAUUGGGUCUAAAGGGUCUGUAGCCGGCCGGAUAAGUCUCUUGAGAAAUCUGGCAGCUUA